Molecule: RNA transcript, 1407 nt
Organism: Planococcus citri (citrus mealybug)
Lineage: Eukaryota; Metazoa; Arthropoda; Insecta; Hemiptera; Pseudococcidae
Gene: Pbp49
Gene name: proximal sequence element A Pbp49
Exons: 7
Source: RefSeq, a predicted model, not a curated record
AAAAUGCGAUUUUUUCUUAUCACUUAUCAGCUAGACGGUAGAUUUAAAAUUUGAACGAUUUCAGAAAACUGAAUUUUUUUUGAUGUUUUAUUCAAUUUUGAAUCAUGGAGGAAGUUUAUUUGAGAGACUUGAAGUCAUACAGUGUAUCGGAAGUUAUGCGAUUUCGUGAUAAGUUUUUGGAACUGAUAAAUAAACUUGCCCAAGAAGAAGAAAACAUUGAUGAAGAUCCCAACGAUCCGCUCUACUUGGAGAGAAAAAAGUUAUGCCGUUUGUCCACUGAAAAAAAGAUGCGUAAACAAUCCCAGAAAGCAGCAGAUAAAUCGUCUAAUAUGAAAAGAAAAUCCAAAUCUCGCAGUAAAAAUAUGCCACCUUUAUUGCCCGUACAUAUUCCUGAUGAUUUCAGAAAAACACGAAAACGUAAACACGAUUUAGUUCCUCACAAAGAUGUGGCAUUUGUAUUCAAAGUUUAUCCACCUUUCAUGUAUGAAUACAACAUUCGUAACUCUAAACCUAAACAUAAUUUAGAAAUAGUCGUCUUGGGUCAUCAAACAUUGGAUAAGUUGUGUGAUAAAAUUGUUUGUGAUGAAAGUUUCAUGGAAAUUGGUGGUGAUAUUAGCGAUACGCCUGACAUACCUGUACAGCCAAGACUCGGUGAAAAAUAUAAAUCAAGGAUGCUGUACAUUGGAAAUAAUUUCUACAUUGACCGAUCGGAUCCCGGUAAUAUUGACUACAGUGAAUGUAUUCGACGAUGGGGUGUUAGAAAUGGAUUGAAUUUUGGUGCAACACUCAAUAUGAACGAACAUUCGUGCUUAGAUUUAGUCUGUAGAAUAGGAUAUCCUUAUGUUUAUCAACAUUUAGGUGGUUGUGAACAUAUCAUAAAACUUGAAUACGUCAGGUUGAUAGAAGAAAAAGACUGCCUAGAAUCGGAACUGUAUCCGUUUUAUUCUUAUGUAUCGAGAUAUUCUGGUUCCAAAUUAUGCAUGGCUUGUAUGGAGAUAUCAGAAUGGAUUGUUUUCGAUAGCAAUCGUAUGAUAUCUAACCCAUCGUAUUUAUGCAAUAGUUGUUUUCGCAGCUACCAUUACGUCGACGGUAAAAAAGUUUCUACUUUCAAAGCUGUUCGGUAUUGGGAUUGUCCUUUAUUUACAAAAAUGACUGGUAAAACAUUCGAACACUACGCUACCGCUGUCGUGAAACAGGAGAAACUUGAUUGAAAAUGUUCCAACCAGCAUAUUUUUAGUGCUUGGUGACUGUGUUGCAGUUUUUUUUAUACGAUCGAUCAAUUCUAAGUUACUGUUUUCAAGGUGAAUUGAGUAAAAUUCAGGAGCAGAUAAAAAAUGACUUGCUGGGAAAAUGUGCGUGAUUUUCCCUUUUCUACAUAUUUAAGAAAAAUGUGAAAGUAUCGCCGUU